UGGCUUAAAAAGAUGUUUGAGUGCAAAUCAAACGGUGGGUUUAGAUGGCCCUUGAGCCU
RNAcentral lists this transfer RNA (59 nucleotides) under Tympanocryptis lineata. RNAcentral's name for it is "tRNA-Cys". The record is from RNAcentral. Lineage: Eukaryota; Metazoa; Chordata; Lepidosauria; Squamata; Agamidae.